AUCAACGUUUGACCAUUCGUAUUAUUUAAAAUAUUUUUGUAAUUAUGAUUUAUUUUAUUGUGAGUUGAUUCAUCAUCAAUUGUUCUUUAAGCAUGACAUAAAUACUUCUGUAUUUGCACAAAAAUUUUGAAUAAGAUGAAUGGUCAAAUGUUGCUCAAGAA
Molecule: microRNA precursor, 161 nt
Filed under: Oryza meridionalis
Lineage: Eukaryota; Viridiplantae; Streptophyta; Magnoliopsida; Poales; Poaceae
Description: MIR812 microRNA precursor family
Rfam family: MIR812 microRNA precursor family
Source: Rfam by way of RNAcentral